GCAAGUCGAACGGCAGCAUGCACUUCGGUGUGAUGGCGAGUGGCGCACGGGUGAGUAACGCGUACAAAACCUACCUUUUACUGGGGGAAAGUCGCUGGAAACGGCGAAUAAUCCCGCAUACGACUAUGAGGACACAUGUUCAUAUAGUGAAAGACUUCGGUUGGUAAAAGAUGGUUGUGCGUCCCAUUAGCUAGAUGGUAAGGUAACGGCUUACCAUGGCGACGAUGGGUAGGGGGCGUGAGAGCGUGGUC
RNAcentral lists this ribosomal RNA (251 nucleotides) under uncultured bacterium. RNAcentral describes it as "partial 16S ribosomal RNA". It matches the Rfam family "Bacterial small subunit ribosomal RNA", at positions 57 to 305 of the family's 1533-position model. The record is from RNAcentral.